AACGAACGCUGGCGGCAUGCCUAACACAUGCAAGUCGAACGAGACCUUCGGGUCUAGUGGCGCACGGGUGCGUAACGCGUGGGAACCUGCCCUUAGGUUCGGAAUAACUCCCCGAAAGGGGUGCUAAUACCGGAUAAUGUCUUCGGACCAAAGAUUUAUCGCCUUUGGAUGGGCCCGCGUUGGAUUAGCUAGUUGGUAGGGUAAAAGCCUACCAAGGCGACGAUCCAUAGCUGGUCUGAGAGGAUGAUCAGCCACACUGGGACUGAGACACGGCCCAGACUCCUACGGGGAGCAGCAGUGGGGAAUAUUGGACAAUGGGCGAAAGCCUGAUCCAGCAAUGCCGCGUGAGUGAUGAAGGCCUUAGGGUUGUAAAGCUCUUUUACCCGGGAUGAUAAUGACAGUACCGGGAGAAUAAGCACCGGCUAACUCCGUG
RNAcentral lists this ribosomal RNA (433 nucleotides) under uncultured bacterium. RNAcentral describes it as "partial 16S ribosomal RNA". It matches the Rfam family "Bacterial small subunit ribosomal RNA", at positions 29 to 507 of the family's 1533-position model. The record is from RNAcentral.